RNAcentral lists this small RNA (559 nucleotides) under Pongo abelii (Sumatran orangutan). Its description in RNAcentral is "processed transcript". The record is from RNAcentral. Lineage: Eukaryota; Metazoa; Chordata; Mammalia; Primates; Hominidae.
CAGUUAGGUCACACACCGCUCAUGGGCGUGAGGGUCAUGGACACAAACUGGGUGGCUCGAAGAGGCUCCUCGGCCGGUCGGAAAGUGUCCUGCGCCCCGCCCUCCAUGCAGCCUCCCGCCCCGCCCGCCGAGCUGGCUGCGCCCCUGCCUUCGCCGCUGCCGGAGCAGCCCCUGGACAGCCCCGCGGCCCCCGCGCUCUCUCCAUCCGGCCUGGGCCUCCAGCCUGGGCCCGAGCGCACCAGCACAACAAAAAGCAAGGAACUUUCUCCAGGGUCUGCACAGAAAGGAAGUCCAGGCUCCAGCCAGGGCACAGCCUGUGCAGGGACUCAACCAGGGGCUCAACCAGGAGCUCAGCCGGGCGCCAGCCCCAGCCCCAGCCAGCCGCCUGCAGACCAGAGUCCUCACACCCUCCGGAAAGACCACUCGCAUUUCUAGGAGCGGCUUUUAACUCCUGGAUUUGUCGAAUAGGGCCCGGGUUUAGCUCAUCCACUUGUGCCUUCAUGACAGGCCCUUUUCCAGCCCCCUUAGUUCCCAUCUGCAGUGGCAGUUUCAUUCUCUU